Molecule: ribosomal RNA, 480 nt
Filed under: uncultured bacterium
Lineage: Bacteria
Description: partial 16S ribosomal RNA
Rfam family: Bacterial small subunit ribosomal RNA
Source: RNAcentral
GACGAACGCUGGCGGCGUGCUUAACACAUGCAAGUCGAACGAUGAAGAAAAGAAUCGAAGCUUCGGCAGAAAUUCAUUUCGGAUUAGUGGCAGACGGGUGAGUAACGCGUGAGCAACCUACCUCUUACAAAGGGAUAGCCUCGGGAAACCGGGAUUAAUACCAUAUAACAUUGCGACGAAGCAUUUCGAUGCAAUCAAAGCUACGGCGGUAAGAGAUGGGCUCGCGUCCCAUUAACCGGAUGGUGAGGUAACGGCUCACCAUAGUGACGAUGGGUAACCGGGCUGGGAGGGUGAACGGUCACACUGGAACUGAGACACGGUCCAGACUCCUACGGGAGGCAGCAGUGGGGAAUAUUGCACAAUGGAGGGAACUCUGAUGCAGCGACGCCGCGUGAGUGAUGAAGGAAUUCGUUUCGUAAAACUCUGUUCUAUGGGAAGAAAAGGACUGUACCAUAGGAGAAAGCUCCGGCUAAAUACGUG